Molecule: transfer RNA, 75 nt
Filed under: Candidatus Levybacteria bacterium RIFCSPHIGHO2_01_FULL_37_17
Lineage: Bacteria; Candidatus Levyibacteriota
Also listed under: 1 other name
Description: tRNA-Ala
Rfam family: tRNA
About the family: Transfer RNA (tRNA) molecules are approximately 80 nucleotides in length.
Source: RNAcentral
GGGCCCGUGGCUCAACGGUAGAGCACCUCCAUGGCAUGGAGGGGGUUGAGAGUUCGAAUCUCUUCGGGUCCACUA